Molecule: transfer RNA, 75 nt
Filed under: Planctomycetota bacterium
Lineage: Bacteria; Pseudomonadati; Planctomycetota
Description: Planctomycetes bacterium (activated sludge metagenome) tRNA-Gln
Rfam family: tRNA
About the family: Transfer RNA (tRNA) molecules are approximately 80 nucleotides in length. Their secondary structure includes four short double-helical elements and three loops (D, anti-codon, and T loops).
Source: RNAcentral
UUCCUCGUGGUGUAAUCGGUAGCACAGCAGAUUCUGGUUCUGCUAGUCAAGGUUCGAGUCCUUGCGAGGAAACCA